UUGAAAAUAUGACAGAAACAUGAACACAAGCAGUAACGAGAAAUUCAUGAACAGGAAAAGCUCAUAUAUGUGUUUUACAUAAGCGGUUUCCAAACGUGAUUGAUUUCAAAUGCUAUUUUCAUGAUGAUUCAGACGAUUUUCAAACGUGAUUCUAGUAUAAGAGCUUCUCAUAACUUCUUCACGAUGAUUCUCACGAAAUUCGCUCAUAAUUUCUAUUGGCUUUCUGUUUCGACUCGCGUUUGAAUUUGGUUCACGGUUGCGGUUCAGAACUAUUUCAAUAUGGUAACGAUUUUUCAGUUUUUGUGCGUUUGGAAUUCAGGUUUGCGUGUUUUGAGUUCGUGGUUUCAGUUCAGAAUUUUCUGUGUUCGGAAUCAACGGUUCAACAAUGAUUACGGUUCAAUUCCGGUUGAAAUUGGUGAUGAAGGAGGUCAAGUUUUUGCAUGAGUAAGAUGCUGAAUUUUAUAUAGUUUGUGUUCAUAAAAAGGUUUAGAUUCUCGCUAUAAUCGUAGACACAAGAUGAAAAGCAAGGAAAAUACAUAAAUAAGCAUACAAGCAAGCAAGCAUUCAUGGAACGGUAAAUAAAGUUUGAGGCUUACCAAUCGGAGACCCUUCGAUGGUUCUUCAACGGCGAUGCAAAUUCAAUAUGGUAAGUGAUUCUUUACGUUUACUUGUUAACUCUUACGAUUCAAUUCCUCUUCCUUUCUUCUUCACCCCCUUUCUUUUCUUCCAUUUGUUUUCUUGUUGUUGUUGUUGAUUCUUUUGCCACUUUUCAAUGCUUGAAUCAUGAAAAACUAUGAUGUGAAGUAUGGUGAAGGUAUAUGCUCAAGUUGAUUGAAGUUUCAAUAUGAAUCUUCAACAACCAUGGAUUUGAGCUCUAGUGAGAGAAGGUUGGAGAAUGGAGAGUGAAAACUUGAGAGAAAGUGAAUAAUGAUUGGAAUCAAAAAGUAAAGAAGAACCCAUUAGUGGGUGAAUGAUGAAUGAUUAUACAGAACUAUGCGGGGAUGAUUAGAGGUUGAGAAUUGGUUAGAAAUUAGUUGGGAUUGUUUUGGACACUUUGGGCAAUUGCCCAAAGUGGUUAGAAGUUGGUUUGUGGAAGUUUAAGAUGGUUAGGGUGGUUAAGACAUGGAUGUAUGUGAAUUUACAUGCAUGUGCAUAUGCUGAAUUUUUAGUGAAUGUGAGGGAAAUUAAAUGAAUUUACAUGACAUCACUUGAACACAUGCUUGAGUGUUUAUAUGAUAUGAAUGAAUUACAGAUGCACUUGGAUUGAUGUUCAUGGAUGAAAUGAUGUAUUACAUGAAUGCUGAAUUUUUCUAAUGCACAUGAUUUAUGGGGUUUUACUUGUUGUAUAGAAGUGAAAUAGAAAUGAUACAUAAUAUGGAAUUUAUAUUCACGGUAUAUACAUAACAUGCUGAAUUUUUAUUGAAUUUGACUUGUUUUUUAAUGGUUUUGCAUAUGAUGUGAAUGUAUGUGCAUGUGUUGAAUUUUAGAGAUGAAUGAUAUGAAUUUAAGAUGAUUUUUCAUGUGUAUUUUGUAAAUGCUAAUGAUGCUGAAUUUUUGUUAUAUAAGUGCUGAAUUUUUAGAAAUGAAUGUAAUUUCUAACUUAUUUUUAUUAUUUUCUUUGCAACAUGGUACAUGGUAAUGGAGCAUGAACAAACAUGAUCAGGAAUGAAGUAUGAAUGAAGACUAUUGAAGAGCUUUGAAUUAUUUUUAUUCUUUUGUGUAUGAAAACUAUGUAGUAUGCUUGUAAUGACAUAAAGUGAAGUCAUGUAAAUGUAAAAAUAAUUUUUAGUGA
Lathyrus oleraceus (garden pea) is the source of this 1792-nucleotide long non-coding RNA. RefSeq lists it as uncharacterized. NCBI's taxonomy places the organism in Eukaryota, Viridiplantae, Streptophyta, Magnoliopsida, Fabales, Fabaceae. The record is from RefSeq and is a predicted model, not a curated record. The transcript is spliced from 2 exons.